CAGCAAAGGCAGCCUCUGGGGGCUGAAGUCACUUUUGAUGAGCUCGGCCUCGGCUAAAAUAUGCACCCCAGUCUGGCUUGAGCCUGGUUAGACAGGGCCCAGACUGGUGAGACCCCUGGAGAUGAUCUUUAAAUGAUGGCUGAGAAACUGAAUGGGAGGGAGUUGGUUGAAAUGACAUCCUUUUUCUCCUUGUAGUGUGGAGGCGUUGCUGGGAUUGGGAAAGACGGAUCACAGUGUGUAAGUGUUAAACAGCGGUAGCGUCUUCCCCGCUAGAGGAGAGAACAGAAGAAAUGGGUCAGCAUUCUGAGGAGACAUCUUCUCUCUCCCUGCCGAGGGACAGACUUACAAAGGAUGCUCAUUCAUGGCACACUGGGAAUAACCAGAGGACCGUAUGGGGCUUCCAGGGUGUACAUGUGCCUGUGUGUGACUUGGG
Molecule: long non-coding RNA, 433 nt
Filed under: Rattus norvegicus (Norway rat)
Lineage: Eukaryota; Metazoa; Chordata; Mammalia; Rodentia; Muridae
Description: long non-coding RNA NONRATT033022
Source: RNAcentral